Molecule: ribosomal RNA, 504 nt
Filed under: uncultured bacterium
Lineage: Bacteria
Description: bacterial SSU rRNA
Rfam family: Bacterial small subunit ribosomal RNA
Source: RNAcentral
ACACAUGCAAGUCGAGCGGCAGCGCGGGAGCAAUCCUGGCGGCGAGCGGCGAACGGGUGAGUAAUGCUUCGGAAUCUACCCAUCAAUGGGGAAUAACCAGUCGAAAGACUGGCUAAUACCGCAUACGACCUACGGGUGAAAGCGGGGGCUCGCAAGACCUCGCGUUGAUGGAUGAGCCGAAGUCGGAUUAGCUAGUUGGUAGGGUAACGGCCUACCAAGGCGACGAUCCGUAGCUGGUCUGAGAGGACGACCAGCCACACUGGGACUGAGACACGGCCCAGACUCCUACGGGAGGCAGCAGUGGGGAAUAUUGGACAAUGGGGGAAACCCUGAUCCAGCGACGCCGCGUGUGUGAAGAAGGCCUGCGGGUUGUAAAGCACUUUUAGUGGGGAGGAAAAGCUCGGACCUAACACGUCCGGGAAUUGACUUAACCCAAAGAAAAAGCACCGGCUAACUCUGUGCCAGCAGCCGCGGUAAUACAGAGGGUGCAAGCGUAAUCGGAAU